This 194-nucleotide ribosomal RNA is filed under the name uncultured bacterium. RNAcentral describes it as "partial 16S ribosomal RNA". It matches the Rfam family "Bacterial small subunit ribosomal RNA", at positions 338 to 524 of the family's 1533-position model. The record is from RNAcentral.
CCUACGGGAGGCAGCAGUAGGGAAUCUUCCGCAAUGGACGAAAGUCUGACGGAGCAACGCCGCGUGAGCGAUGAAGGCCUUCGGGUCGUAAAGCUCUGUUGUUAGGGAAGAACAAGUAUCGGAGUAACUGCCGGUACCUUGACGGUACCUAACCAGAAAGCCCCGGCUAACUACGUGCCAGCAGCCGCGGUAAU